CUCCCGCUCACUGGAGACUGCGGUGUCGCUGCGGGGGCGCCCCGCCCGUGGGCCCAGCGAAGGCCGGGGACCACCCAGCGGCGAGCGCCCGCCGUUACAAGCAGCGCGUGAGCCCGGGGCCACUAACCAGGCGACGGUUAGCGGGCCCCUGUGGCCGCGAGGACGCGCAGGUGUGUGCGGGGCAGCGGCGGCACACGCCGGGGGAGUAGUCUGCACACAGUGCAGGCGUGCUCGGGCAUUUGGCCGAGUUGGUCCAGAAGACAGAACCGCCCGCUCUUGGGAAUUGAGCCAAGGAAUUCCUCAGCGGCCCGGCCGCCCCCACUCCCAACCCUGCCUGGACUUUGACCUGUGGACGAGAGGAGAGAGGUGGAGCGAGCUGGCAGCACCCAUGUCCUGAGGUGGCCAGAGGCGGAGACAACAACCCACGUGGAGGCCAGCCGGAGCUGCCGGCGGGGCGUCCGGGCUUCACGGCUUCUGCCAGAGACACUCCGUCUCACAGAGGGGGCCGUGGAGUCUUGGGAAAGUCUCAAGGCUCCAGGAAGGCUUCCCUGUGGUGGCCUCAGUUCCUGUGUGUCCCCAGUGAGGGGGCUCAGCUGGCCACUGGCGAGAGGCCUUUUCAAAGUGGAAAGUUUUUCUAAUUGAGAUAAAAUUCACAUAACAUAAAAUCCACUAUUAGCCCUUUU
This is a long non-coding RNA of Leopardus geoffroyi (Geoffroy's cat), 683 nucleotides long. RefSeq lists it as uncharacterized. The transcript is spliced from 2 exons. NCBI's taxonomy places the organism in Eukaryota, Metazoa, Chordata, Mammalia, Carnivora, Felidae. The record is from RefSeq and is a predicted model, not a curated record.